GACGAACGCUGGCGGCGUGCUUAACACAUGCAAGUCGAACGGAAAGGCCCUGUACUUGUGGGGUGCUCGAGUGGCGAAAAGGUGAGUGUAACGUGAGUAACCUGCCCUUGACUUUGGGAUACCUUAAGGAAACUGGAGCGAAUACAGGACAUGAGCUCCUGCUGCAUGGUGGGGGUUGGAGAGAUUCGGCGGUUCGGGAUGCACGCGCGGCUUAGCAGCUUGUUGGUGGGGUAGUGGCUUAGAAGGGCAUUGACGGGUAGCCGGCCUGAGAGGGUGACCGGCCACAUUGGGCCUGAGGUAGGAGCCAGACUGCUACGUGGGGCAUCAGUGGGGGAUAGUGCAAGAUGCGCGGAAGCCGGAUGCAGCAACGCCGGGUGCGAGAUGACGGCUUUCGGGUUGUAAACCGCUUGCGCCUGUGACGAAGCGUGAGUGACGGUAAUGGGUAAAGAAGCACCGGCUAACUACGUG
RNAcentral lists this ribosomal RNA (468 nucleotides) under uncultured bacterium. RNAcentral's name for it is "partial 16S ribosomal RNA". It matches the Rfam family "Bacterial small subunit ribosomal RNA", at positions 28 to 507 of the family's 1533-position model. The record is from RNAcentral.